Long non-coding RNA from Asterias rubens (European starfish), 832 nucleotides. RefSeq lists it as uncharacterized. The record is from RefSeq and is a predicted model, not a curated record. Lineage: Eukaryota; Metazoa; Echinodermata; Asteroidea; Forcipulatida; Asteriidae. The transcript is spliced from 3 exons.
AUGAUAUGUUUAUAUACAAUGUACUAAGGAUUAGGGUUGACAUUUUGGGCUUUAUAAACGAGUGGCUUAAACUGUGCCAGUAAGGUUACAGCAUUGUUAAUAGUGCACAACACAGAACACACUGUACAUCAUUUUGGGAGUGAAUUCCUUUGUGUUUAUCCUGAUACCCAAAAUGGCAGACAGGAUAGGCAUGUACGUGCGCUGUGCAAUGAGUAAGUGUUAAAUGAAAUAUUGGAUGGUAACCUUAUUCUAUUAAGUGAAAGUUUUGUGCUUAGCUACUUUUUGUGCUUAAGCAGCUCUUCUAUGAAACUAGCCCCUGGUUAUAUCAUCUGAAUGACGCUAAACCUGAUUAUUAAAGUUUAAUUUGUAUGGAAAAAAUAGACAUAAAUAUUGGUUAGCUAUAAAAUGUGAAUUACUCUGUCAACAUUUAUCUUAUAGAUGACAUGGUAUGAAAAAGUAGUGUGAAUGUAACUAAGUUUGUAUCAUUGGUAUUCAGGUUGGCUCAGUGGUAUUCAGGCUGGUUCAGUGGUUUCUUUCCCAUCAUUGGUAUUCAGGUUGGCUCAGUGGUUUCUUUCCCUCCCUUUCACCUUAAUAGACCCCGGUUUGAAUCCAACCUCAGACUGCAGCCUUCAGGCUGGUUCAGUGGCUUCUUUCCCAUCAUUGGUAUUCAGGUUGGCUCAGUGGUUUCUUUCCCUCCCUUUCACCUUAAUAGACCCCGGUUUGAAUCCAACCUCAGACUGCAGCCUUCAGGCUGGUUCAGUGGUUUCUUUCCCAUCAUUGGUAUUCAGGUUGGCUCAGUGGUUUCUUUCCCAUCAUUGGUAUUCAGGUUGGC